AUGAACGCUAGCGACAGGCCUAACACAUGCAAGUCGAGGGGCAGCACAAGGAGCAAUCUGAGGUGGCGACCGGCGCACGGGUGAGUAACACGUAUGCAACCUGCCUGUAAGCGGGGAAUAACCCGUUGAAAGACGGACUAAUACCGCAUAAUACUAAAUUACUGCAUGGUAAUUUAUUUAAACAUUUAUGGCUUACAGAUGGGCAUGCGCAUGAUUAGCUAGUUGGAGAGGUAACGGCUCCCCAAGGCAACGAUCAUUAGGGGUUCUGAGAGGAAGGUCCCCCACACUGGUACUGAGACACGGACCAGACUCCUACGGGAGCAGCAGUGAGGAAUAUUGGUCAAUGGACGAGAGUCUGAACCAGCCAAGUCGCGUGCAGGAAGAAUGUCCUUAAUGGAUUGUAAACUGCUUUUGCGAGGGGAAUAAAGUGCAUCACGUGUGAUGUUUUGUAUGUACUCUGCGAAUAAGGAUCGGCUAACUCCGUGCCAGCAGCUGC
This 496-nucleotide ribosomal RNA is filed under the name uncultured bacterium. RNAcentral's name for it is "bacterial SSU rRNA". It matches the Rfam family "Bacterial small subunit ribosomal RNA", at positions 29 to 518 of the family's 1533-position model. The record is from RNAcentral.